UACGGGGGGGGCAAGCGUUGUUCGGAAUCACUGGGCAUAAAGCGCACGUAGGCGGCUGAGUAAGUCGGAUGUGAAAUACCUCGGCUCAACCGAGGAACUGCGUCCGAUACUGCUCGGCUUGAGGUCCGGAGGGGAGAGUGGAAUUCCCGGUGGAGCGGUGAAAUGCGUAGAGAUCGGGAAGAACGCCGGCGGCGAAAGCGACUCUCUGGUCGGAAUCUGACGCUGAGGUGCGAAAGCUAGGGGAGCAAACGGG
This 253-nucleotide ribosomal RNA is filed under the name uncultured bacterium. RNAcentral's name for it is "partial 16S ribosomal RNA". It matches the Rfam family "Bacterial small subunit ribosomal RNA", at positions 524 to 776 of the family's 1533-position model. The record is from RNAcentral.